UGCCCUUUAACAUUUAUUGUCACAACAACAGCUUUCUUUUCUAAACUAUCUUUACAUGGAGAGGAGACGUCAAAAGAGUUCUUCAAACACGUGAGUCGAAAAGUGGUAAAUAACUCCUGUAUGUGACAUUUAGUGGAAGCCAUUCAACAUAUCAUUUUGUCAAACAAUUCAAUCAACACCUUUAUUAAUUAGUCCUUUGUUGUCGAUAGCUGUAAAUUGCAAUCAGCUGAUAAUUGAUUUUC
RNAcentral lists this long non-coding RNA (242 nucleotides) under Mytilus galloprovincialis (Mediterranean mussel). Lineage: Eukaryota; Metazoa; Mollusca; Bivalvia; Mytilida; Mytilidae. The record is from RNAcentral.